UACGAAGGGGGCUAGCGUUGUUCGGAUUUACUGGGCGUAAAGCGCACGUAGGCGGAUCGUUAAGUGAGGGGUGAAAUCCCAGGGCUCAACCCUGGAACUGCCUUUCAUACUGGCGAUCUUGAGUCCGGAAGAGGUGAGUGGAACUCCGAGUGUAGAGGUGAAAUUCGUAGAUAUUCGGAAGAACACCAGUGGCGAAGGCGGCUCACUGGUCCGGUACUGACGCUGAUGUGCGAAAGCGUGGGGAGCAAACAGG
RNAcentral lists this ribosomal RNA (253 nucleotides) under uncultured bacterium. RNAcentral's name for it is "partial 16S ribosomal RNA". It matches the Rfam family "Bacterial small subunit ribosomal RNA", at positions 524 to 776 of the family's 1533-position model. The record is from RNAcentral.